UUCCUACGGGAGGCAGCAGUGGGGAAUCUUGGACAAUGGGCGCAAGCCUGAUCCAGCCAUGCCGCGUGAGUGAUGAAGGCCUUAGGGUCGUAAAGCUCUUUCGCCUGUGAUGAUAAUGACAGUAGCAGGUAAAGAAACCCCGGCUAACUCCGUGCCAGCAGCCGCGGUAAUACGGAGGGGGUUAGCGUUGUUCGGAAUUACUGGGCGUAAAGCGCGCGUAGGCGGACUAGUCAGUCAGAGGUGAAAUCCCAGGGCUCAACCCUGGAACUGCCUUUGAUACUGCUAGUCUUGAGUUCGAGAGAGGUAAGUGGAAUUCCGAGUGUAGAGGUGAAAUUCGUAGAUAUUCGGAGGAACACCAGUGGCGAAGGCGACUUACUGGCUCGAUACUGACGCUGAGGUGCGAAAGUGUGGGGAGCAAACAGGAUUAGAUACCCUGGUAGUCCACA
RNAcentral lists this ribosomal RNA (446 nucleotides) under uncultured Paracoccaceae bacterium. Its description in RNAcentral is "bacterial SSU rRNA". It matches the Rfam family "Bacterial small subunit ribosomal RNA", at positions 336 to 799 of the family's 1533-position model. The record is from RNAcentral. Lineage: Bacteria; Pseudomonadati; Pseudomonadota; Alphaproteobacteria; Rhodobacterales; Paracoccaceae.